GGUGGUUAUAUCUUAAUUGGUUAAAGAGUUAGAUUGUGAUUUUAAAAAUUAUGAGUUCAAGUCUCAUUAUCCACCA
This 76-nucleotide transfer RNA is filed under the name Guillardia theta. RNAcentral describes it as "tRNA-His". It matches the Rfam family "tRNA". Rfam says of the family: Transfer RNA (tRNA) molecules are approximately 80 nucleotides in length. Their secondary structure includes four short double-helical elements and three loops (D, anti-codon, and T loops). Lineage: Eukaryota; Cryptophyceae; Pyrenomonadales; Geminigeraceae. The record is from RNAcentral.